This is a long non-coding RNA of Nilaparvata lugens (brown planthopper), 2713 nucleotides long. RefSeq lists it as uncharacterized. Lineage: Eukaryota; Metazoa; Arthropoda; Insecta; Hemiptera; Delphacidae. The transcript has 6 exons. The record is from RefSeq and is a predicted model, not a curated record.
CUCCUUUCCUAAUUCUGGUGUGAGGAUCUCCCCAGUCUUUGAAACAUGCAUAAACCAAAGGUUCUCGUUUUUGUAUCCAAAGUAUGAUGAUGCCCAUGAUAUCGAACUAAGCAGAUAAUUAGCUUCCUUCUUCAAAUACAUCAGUAGAGGGGUUCGAGUCUGGAAGCAAGAGUGCUGAUUUGGCUAAAAAUUGCUUCAAAACUGAUGAACAAAGCAGCUGACUAGAAUUCCGUCUCGAAAAGAAAUCACUGAUCACAAGCGUUUUACAGGUGUGGAGGGAAGCUGACGAGUGGAGCGUGACUCGUGUCGUAAGGAGGCGUGCUGCUUCUUCUAUCAUUUCUCUUCCUCUUGCAUCUUCUUCUUCUCCUCCUCCACCUCCUCCUCUUCUCCUCCUCCUACGCUUGUUCCUCUUCCUCUUCCCCUUCCUCCUCCUCUCCUCCUCCUACGCUUGUUCCUCUUCCUCUUCCUUCUCCUCUCCCUUAUCUUCUUCUAGUUGAUGAGACUCGUCGACCCAAAAAGACAUCAGACGUUGAAUAUACAUGGACAAUGGACAGAGCGGGCAGGAUCAAGGCAUGGCAAGGCAGAACAGGCGAAAUGAGAGCAGCGCGCCCGUUAUAAACGAGAAACAGCAACGAAAACUAAAACAAAGGAAUACUAUCGACGUGACAAGUAAACCGAACGACCAAUGAACACAGGAGAGGAACGAGUAGGAGAGGAAGAAAAAGGAGAAGAAAAAAGGUAAUCAGAUGCACGGCAUCGAAGUGAUUGUUGGGAGAGAGUCUAGACAACAUGCAAGGUGAAUGAGGGAGAGAAAUAGAAAAACAAUGAUGAAAUACCGGGAAUAAAGCUCAAUUGAGAAAUUUUGGAUGAAAUAAGAGGGAGCUUCGAGGAUAAAAAUUCAGCACAACAAUGAAAUGAAUUAAUAAUUAUGAAACGAAAAUCCAAUUUAAAUACUGUAGAUUUUCGUUCAGUAAUAAAAUUAUUAAUUCAUUAGCAUUGCAUAAAUGCAAUUUCUCAGUAAAAAUCAAGUUUUAUACAUUAAUUUGUUUGAAUACUGAAACAAAAGAAGAAGAGUAGAAUCAGAGAAAAACUGCCAAUUAAAGGUAAAACAGGAAGCAGAAGGAAGGAAAACAUACAUGAGAGGAGAAAGAAAAAUGAUUAGGAAAAAAGAAGACAAAAUAAGAUAACAAUUAAUGGCAAAAGGAGAAAAUGUUUGAGAAUAUGUGAGUUGUGCAAAAGUAGGUAUAGAGAAGGAUGGCAUGAAGAGAAAAAGUAGUAAGGAGGAGGAGAAUUAGGAGGGAAUUAGGAGGAAUAGGAGACGAAAGUGAGAAGGAUCAGGAAGAAGAAUGAGAAGAAGAAGAAGAAGAACAACAACAACAACAACAGCGAGGAACAGGAGAAUAUUUGACAGCUGGUGAAGAAGAAGAAGAAGAAGAAGAAGAAAAGAAGAAGAAGAAGAAAAAGGAGAAGAAGAAUGUAGCGACACGCAACACAACGCCUUGAAGCUGACUGUUGACCGAUUGCAAUCCAAUCUUCCUCUCUUGCCCUUCUUCUAGCGCCAUUAAUUUGUUUGCAGGGCGGCCCCGAUUUCCUGCUUAAUGCAUUCCCACAGGCACGAGGCAGAAGGCAGACGGCACCAGUACAACAUCCUACAGCUCUUGUUGGAACUCUAUUGUAGUGUUUGGUGAGUUUUCUUUGUAGUAGAUUGUUAUCCCAAUUUUUUGGUUUCUGAUAAUAUGGCACAAUUUUUUUAUUUCUAUUUCCCCCACAAAUUUUCAGCUGUCGUUAAUUUUCAAAUAUUCUAUAAUAUGUUGAAUUUUUGGUGAGAUUCUUUCAAUUGUUUGACUCGAAAAAUUCGACAUUGAUAAGUAAAGGCAACGAAUUAUUGACAAUCUCUUUGAUGAAUACACCACACAUUCCCAUAUGAGGGAUAAAUACUAUGCCUAAUAUUUAAAUGAAUUCUUUUUUAGUUUUUACAGUCAUAUACUUUGAUAAAUUAUGGAAAACCUGACAUAACCUGUAUUUUGUUUGCAACUUUUAGAAGGAAAGAUUUGAACUCUUUUAUAUUUUACUUGUUCCCUUGGAACGAGUUCACCAAACUCGAAAUUUGUGGAAAAACAUGUCAAAUUUAAUGUCAUCUCUCGUUAUCUUCUUUAAUUGAGAUUACCCACCUCAAAAUAUUUGAAAUGUAGUUAUACAUGAAAAAAUGCUAAAAUUCAAGUUACUUAAAAAACAAUCCAUACAGAAAUUUCCAAUUUUUCUUGAUCAUUUUUCAAUACAUAAUGAUGGACCUCACAUGAUGACAUCUACUGUACUUUUAUUUCCCAAUAACAUGGACCAUUGUAUCAUUUUCAUAAUUUUCUAAAAGCUGUCUCGCAUGAAGACUCAAUUUUGUUGGGAGUGUGUGAGGAGUGUUAUGAACACAGAAAAAGCAAUUUCAAAGUUGGUCGUAUAUAAUGCCGUACAUAAAGCAAUAUAAUGCCGUUGAUGGCACAGUCUCAGCAUACUCUUUCAGGUAAUAAAACUUGUGGAAAUUGUUGUGCCAUAAAAUAUAACAAUUCUCACAUGCGGCAUUAUUAAAUAUACAGAUGAAAAACUGAAUACAGCUCUUGGAUUUCACUUUGCCCACCUUUAUCUAUGGUUUUAUGCUAAGCUAUUUUUUGACCCUCCUGCUUUGAACCCACUAAUGCCAUAACAAUUCUCUUUUUACAUC